GUGCUUGCUUCAGCAGCACAUAUACUAAAACUGGAACGAUACAGAGAAGAUUAGCAUGGCUCCUGCGCAAGGAUGACACGCAAAUUCGUGAAGUGUUCCAUAUUAUG
This is a small nuclear RNA of Otolemur garnettii (small-eared galago), 107 nucleotides long. Lineage: Eukaryota; Metazoa; Chordata; Mammalia; Primates; Galagidae. The record is from Ensembl.